UACGUAGGGUGCAAGCGUUGUCCGGAAUUAUUGGGCGUAAAGAGCUUGUAGGCGGUUUGUCGCGUCUGCUGUGAAAUUUCGGGGCUCAACCCCCGAACUUGCAGUGGGUACGGGCAGACUAGAGUGUGGUAGGGGGAGACUGGAAUUCCUGGUGUAGCGGUGAAAUGCGCAGAUAUCAGGAGGAACACCGAUGGCGAAGGCAGGUCUCUGGGCCAUAACUGACGCUGAGAAGCGAAAGCAUGGGGAGCGAACAGG
RNAcentral lists this ribosomal RNA (255 nucleotides) under uncultured bacterium. RNAcentral's name for it is "partial 16S ribosomal RNA". It matches the Rfam family "Bacterial small subunit ribosomal RNA", at positions 524 to 776 of the family's 1533-position model. The record is from RNAcentral.